GGUUAGACGCAAUAACACGUUCUCACGUUGCUCCAAUAAUGUUGCAAUGAAAAAAGAAAAAAUAAAACGAUAGUGAUGCAUAAUUAUGUUUCCUGAUUGAUCAUUAAAGCUGAUAAGACUAACAUGAACAUCCGGAGGCCUUGGUGUUGUCGAAGUGAACGAAAGUAACGGCCGGGGUUGCGUAAGUCUCGACAGUGUCUCCCGGGUAGUAGUUAUUUGAUCCCGUGCGUUAUCGAAAGACUCAAGAGGGAAUAUGGCGGAGGUGGAAACAGCGUAUGUACUCAGCAGGCGGCAAAUCCGUCAGAUGCGGGGGUGGUGAGAAAGAGAAGAGAAACAAAUUGGAGGAGAUGAGGAUUGAGGUGGAGAAGAAGGGUAAAGGAGACGUCUUGUUGGCCUUGAACUUGGCUUUUCUGAAGAGAGAACCGAGCCGUACGAUCGCGAAGGCCGAGUCUGACGCGCCAUUGCAAUUUUAGAUUCCGAACGUCGACGGAAACUACCGACGUCGACGACGUUAACCGCAAUGGCAUCGGCCUUGAAAUCUACCGCUGCGAAUUAUUUUUUCGUACAAAUUUCAUCGACGAAAAUAAGAUCUUCAAUUGCUAAACACGGGAUUCUUCAUUUUAUUAAUCAGGAAGAGAAUGGAUACAUCUCAAUUGACCAUCAUGUAUUAUCAUAUAAAUUGCUAUGCAGGUGGAAGAGAUACUACUUGUGCAUCAAGAGGGUGUUACUAUGCAUUGAAAGGGAAAUUUUGGUUUAAUGGAAAAAUAGUAAAAUUUAUUUUAAAUCUUGAUUACCAAAGCGCACAAUGACCGUGAUUUAUUUUAAUCCUUUGUAGCCUAUGAUCUUGGAAAAAUUAAUUAUGUUGAUAAUGAGAAAUAUUACGUAAGACUAAAAAGGGUUUAAUAUGAUCAAAAAUUUUCAUAGAAAUUGUAUAGAUAAAAUGAUAAGAAUCAGUCCAUCAACAUUGCAGUGGAAGAUCUUGUUAUUAUUAAAUAUGAUCGUAAGUAUCCUAACUUCCGGCGAUCACUACAUCGAAAUUUUUCAAGGUUCUACAACGAGCAUUGAUGACUUGUCGGGCUCGUUUUCAAACUGGUUGAUUAUGUAAGUGUGAGAUAAAAAAAAAGUUAAAAGCAAAGAAGUUUUUAC
Long non-coding RNA from Chelonus insularis, 1146 nucleotides. RefSeq lists it as uncharacterized. The record is from RefSeq and is a predicted model, not a curated record. The transcript has 4 exons. NCBI's taxonomy places the organism in Eukaryota, Metazoa, Arthropoda, Insecta, Hymenoptera, Braconidae.